GGGGGGGGGUUUGAAGGUGUUUGAGACGAGAAUUAAAUUCAAUUAAAAUGCACAGAAAUUAAAUGCAACCGAAUAAAAUAGAAAACAUUAAAAUAAAAUAAAAUACUAAACCCAACAUUGCAACAAAAAAUUAUCUAAACACAAUUAAAACUAUUAAAAUCCAACACUUAAUUAAAGAGAUGAAAAACAACUCAAAAUACAAUGCAACAUAUUUUAAAACACAAGAAAUAAUCAGCACAAUUUUAUUCUACCAUUC
Molecule: long non-coding RNA, 256 nt
Filed under: Vigna radiata
Lineage: Eukaryota; Viridiplantae; Streptophyta; Magnoliopsida; Fabales; Fabaceae
Description: long non-coding RNA (VRAD_LNC015118)
Source: RNAcentral